This 422-nucleotide ribosomal RNA is filed under the name uncultured archaeon. Its description in RNAcentral is "bacterial SSU rRNA". It matches the Rfam family "Archaeal small subunit ribosomal RNA", at positions 322 to 746 of the family's 1478-position model. The record is from RNAcentral.
CCUACGGGUGGCAGCAGUCGCGAAACCUUUGCAAUACACGAAAGUGUGACAGGGCUAUCCCGAGUGCCAUCCGCUGAGGAAGGCUUUUACCCAGUCUAGAAAGCUGGGGGAAUAAGGAGAGGGCAAGUCUGGUGUCAGCCGCCGCGGUAAUACCAGCUCUCCGAGUGGUGUGGAUGUUUAUUGGGCCUAAAGCAUCCGUAGCUGGCUAGGUAAGUCCCUUGUUAAAUCCACCGAAUUAAUCGUUGGAUCGCGGGGGAUACUGCUUGGCUAGGGGACGAGAGAGGCAAACGGUAUUUUCGGGGUAGGGGUGAAAUCCUAUAAUCCCGGGAAGACCACCAGUGGCGAAGGCUGUUUGCUAGAACGCGCCCGACGGUGAGGGAUGAAAGCUGGGGGAGCGAACCGGAUUAGAUACCCCUGUAGUC